RNAcentral lists this ribosomal RNA (22 nucleotides) under Diplodia seriata. RNAcentral's name for it is "partial 28S ribosomal RNA". Lineage: Eukaryota; Fungi; Ascomycota; Dothideomycetes; Botryosphaeriales; Botryosphaeriaceae. The record is from RNAcentral.
UAGGGAUACCCGCUGAACUUAA